This 245-nucleotide ribosomal RNA is filed under the name uncultured bacterium. RNAcentral's name for it is "partial 16S ribosomal RNA". It matches the Rfam family "Bacterial small subunit ribosomal RNA", at positions 524 to 768 of the family's 1533-position model. The record is from RNAcentral.
UACGGAGGGUGCGAGCGUUAUUCGGAAUUACUGGGCGUAAAGGGCGCGCAGGCGGCUUGGCAAGUCUGAUGUGAAAGCCCGGGGCUUAACCCCGGAAGGGCAUUGGAAACUGCCAGGCUUGAGUACUGGAGAGGAUGGGAGAAUUCCCGGUGUAGAGGUGAAAUUCGUAGAGAUCGGGAGGAACAUCAGUGGCGAAGGCGCCCAUCUGGACAGCUACUGACGCUGAGGCGCGAAAGCGUGGGGAG